This 447-nucleotide ribosomal RNA is filed under the name uncultured bacterium. Its description in RNAcentral is "bacterial SSU rRNA". It matches the Rfam family "Bacterial small subunit ribosomal RNA", at positions 355 to 825 of the family's 1533-position model. The record is from RNAcentral.
UGGGGAAUCUUGGACAAUGGGCGAAAGCCUGAUCCAGCAAUGCCGCGUGAGUGAUGAAGGCCUUAGGGUUGUAAAGCUCUUUUACCAGGGAUGAUAAUGACAGUACCUGGAGAAUAAGCUCCGGCUAACUCCGUGCCAGCAGCCGCGGUAAUACGGAGGGAGCUAGCGUUGUUCGGAAUUACUGGGCGUAAAGCGUACGUAGGCGGUGACUCAAGUCAGAGGUGAAAGCCUGGAGCUCAACUCCAGAACUGCCUUUGAAACUAGGUCGCUAGAAUCACGGAGAGGUGAGUGGAAUUCCGAGUGUAGAGGUGAAAUUCGUAGAUAUUCGGAAGAACACCAGUGGCGAAGGCGGCUCACUGGACGUGUAUUGACGCUGAGGUACGAAAGCGUGGGGAGCAAACAGGAUUAGAUACCCGCGUAGUCCCUGAGCGGGCUGGCAAGGCGCAU